GAGGACGGUUGGCGAGAGUUUAUCACUCUUGUUUGCCUACUUUUGGUAGACUUUAGUCGGGCUGGACCUUUGGUCCUCGUCUGACAGUUGCUACGUGCUUACUUACCACGGUUCAUCCGUGAGGCCCUUGGCUUGCAACUGUAAAUAAAUCGUUGUGCUUAAAGCGGGCUAUGAUACUCUGCCAGAGCGAUUUAGCAUGGGACUGCAGAGUAGCUGUAUUUGGGUGAAGGUUGUGUUUCGGCAUGGCUGGAGCCUGGUACAGCGCUUGUAAUGGAGCUCAGGGUGAGGCCCCGGGUACCAUGAGGCUAGAGGUGAAAUUCUGAGACCCUCAUGUGACCAACUAAGGCGAAAGCUGUCGUGGGCCACCACAAGCUCGUCUAUCAGGGACGAAAGUUGGGGGAUCGAAGACGAUUAGAUACCGUCGUAGUCCCAACUAUAAACGAUACCAACCGAGUAUUUGGGAAGACACUAUCCCAGCGAUCUUCUCAG
This 489-nucleotide ribosomal RNA is filed under the name Naegleria australiensis. Its description in RNAcentral is "SSU rRNA". It matches the Rfam family "Eukaryotic small subunit ribosomal RNA", at positions 637 to 1083 of the family's 1831-position model. Lineage: Eukaryota; Heterolobosea; Eutetramitea; Acrasida; Naegleriidae. The record is from RNAcentral.